UGUAGGCGGUAGCGCAAGUUGGGUGUGAAAGCCCCUGGCUUAACCAGGGAGGGUCAUCCGAAACUGCGCUGCUUGAGGGCAGCAGAGGAAAGUGGAAUUCCAGGUGUAGUGGUGAAAUGCGUAGAUAUCUGGAGGAACACCGGUGGCGAAGGCGGCUUUCUGGGCUGUACCUGACGCUGAGGCGCGAAAGCGUGGGAGCGAACUGGAUUAGAUACCCAGGUAGUCCACGCCAUAAACGAUGGACACUAGGUGUGGGGGGUAUCGACCCCCUCUGUGCCGAAGCUAACGCAUUAAGUGUCCCGCCUGGGGAGUACGGCCGCAAGGCUAAA
Molecule: ribosomal RNA, 329 nt
Filed under: uncultured bacterium
Lineage: Bacteria
Description: bacterial SSU rRNA
Rfam family: Bacterial small subunit ribosomal RNA
Source: RNAcentral